Molecule: ribosomal RNA, 460 nt
Filed under: uncultured bacterium
Lineage: Bacteria
Description: partial 16S ribosomal RNA
Rfam family: Bacterial small subunit ribosomal RNA
Source: RNAcentral
CCUACGGGAGGCAGCAGUGAGGAAUAUUGGUCAAUGGACGAGAGUCUGAACCAGCCAAGUAUCGUGAAGGAUGACUGCCCUAUGGGUUGUAAACUUCUUUUAUAUGGGAAUAAAAUGUUCCACGUGUGGGACUUUGUAUGUACCAUAUGAAUAAGGAUCGGCUAACUCCGUGCCAGCAGCCGCGGUAAUACGGGGGAUCCGAGCGUUAUCCGGAUUUAUUGGGGUUAAAGGGAGCGUAGGUGGGUUGUUAAGCCAGUUGUGAAAGUUUGCGGCUCAACCGUAACAUUGCAGUUGAAACUGGCAGUCUUGAGUACAGUAGAGGUAGGCGGAAUUCGUGGUGUAGCGGUGAAAUGCUUAGAUAUCACGAAGAACUCCGAUUGCGAAGGCAGUUCACUGGACUGCAACUGACACUGAGGCUCGAAAGUGUGGGUAUCAAACAGGAUUAGAUACCCUGGUAGUC